Molecule: ribosomal RNA, 762 nt
Filed under: Didymium spongiosum
Lineage: Eukaryota; Evosea; Eumycetozoa; Physariida; Didymiaceae
Description: Mucilago crustacea partial small subunit ribosomal RNA
Rfam family: Eukaryotic small subunit ribosomal RNA
Source: RNAcentral
CCAGAUACACGUAUGAAAGACAAGCUGAAAGACUUUUCUCAAUGAUGUAAGUGGUGGUGCAUGGUCGUUCUUAGUUCGUGGAUUGAUUUGUCUGGUCUAUUCCGAUAACGAGCGAGACCCCAACGUUCCUAAUAGGGGUAGCAGCCCGGCUUGCCCUUCACGGGGCUUGCUAGCAGCUACCUCAACUAGCUUCUUAGACGUAUCAGGGCCGAUAAGGUCCUUGAAAUGGGUUAAUAACAGGUUAUAACUGGCCUGUAAAAGUGUAGCUGGCGAAAGCCAGCUAUGCUAGUGGGGGACUUCGGUCAUCUGCGACACCUUCAAAUUGCGGGGACACCCUAUUCAAAGUAUACCUACAACCAUCUCAGUUGAAAAGCUGGGUGGCGUAAUAAUGGUGUACCUGGGGCAAUCCGCAGCCAAGCCCUAAACGAGACGCUCCGGCUCUCGCAUGGGUGCAGUUCACAGGCUAAAUGUAGGUGGGGCCUCUCUGAUCGGUACUCUGAACCAAUAAGGGGUACUGUAGGGGUCUUAAGAUAUAGUCGAUAUUGGUGUUAAUAGCACCAAGGGAAAGCAGUCAUGCCCUUAGAUGUUCUGGGCCGCACGCGCGUUACAAUGGUAUACAUUAGAACGUGCUCACAAGGGCUUUUCCGCAGCCUACAGGUUGCGGUAACCCUUAGUCUCUUCCUUGACUGGGACAGACUAUUGCAAUUAUUGGUCUCAAACGAGGAAUUUUUAGUAGUCGCAGGUCAUUAACCUGCGACGAAU